UCUUUAGACCUUUACAAUUAUUAUUUGAGGUAAUGCCCCAGGAUGGGAACAUAGCAAGGCGCCUUACUUAGUAGUGUGUUUGGGUAUCUGGAGAAGA
RNAcentral lists this signal recognition particle RNA (97 nucleotides) under Arcobacter venerupis. RNAcentral's name for it is "bacterial signal recognition particle RNA (4.5S RNA)". It matches the Rfam family "Bacterial small signal recognition particle RNA". From Rfam's summary of the family: The signal recognition particle (SRP) is a universally conserved ribonucleoprotein involved in the co-translational targeting of proteins to membranes. Archaeal SRP consists of a 7S RNA and homologues of the eukaryotic SRP19 and SRP54 proteins. In most bacteria, the SRP consists of a 4.5S RNA and the Ffh protein (a homologue of the eukaryotic SRP54 protein). The record is from RNAcentral. Lineage: Bacteria; Pseudomonadati; Campylobacterota; Epsilonproteobacteria; Campylobacterales; Arcobacteraceae.